Molecule: ribosomal RNA, 301 nt
Filed under: uncultured bacterium
Lineage: Bacteria
Description: partial 16S ribosomal RNA
Rfam family: Bacterial small subunit ribosomal RNA
Source: RNAcentral
CAGUAGCCGCGGGAAAACGUAGGGUGCGAGCGUUGUCCGGAACUACUGGGCGUAAAGAGCUCGUAGGCGGUUUGUCACGUCGUCUGUGAAAUCCUAGGGCUUAACCCUGGACGUGCAGGCGAUACGGACUGACUUGAGUACUACAGGGGAGACUGGAAUUUCUGGUGUAGCGGUGGAAUGCACAGAUAUCAGGAAGAACACCGAUGGCGAAGGCAGGUCUCUGGGUAGUAACUGACGCUGAGGAGCGAAAGCAUGGGUAGCGAACAGGAUUAGAUACCCGCGUAGUCCCUGUCUCUUAUAC